RNAcentral lists this ribosomal RNA (623 nucleotides) under uncultured bacterium. RNAcentral's name for it is "bacterial SSU rRNA". It matches the Rfam family "Bacterial small subunit ribosomal RNA", at positions 9 to 661 of the family's 1533-position model. The record is from RNAcentral.
GAGUUUGAUCCUGGCUCAGAACGAACGCUGGCGGCAGGCCUAACACAUGCAAGUCGAACGAAGUCUUCGGACUUAGUGGCAGACGGGUGAGUAACGCGCGGGAACCUACCUGGAGGUUCGGAAUAACUCGGGGAAACUCGGGCUAAUACCGGAUACGCCCUUACGGGGAAAGAUUUAUCGCCUUUAGAUGGGCCCGCGUUGGAUUAGCUUGUUGGUGAGGUAAAAGCUCACCAAGGCGACGAUCCAUAGCUGGUCUGAGAGGAUGAUCAGCCACACUGGGACUGAGACACGGCCCAGACUCCUACGGGAGGCAGCAGUGAGGAAUAUUCGGCAAAUGGGCGCAAGCCUGACCGAGCCAUGCCGCGUGAGUGAAGAAGGCCCUAGGGUUGUAAAAGCUCUUUCACCGAUGAAGAUAUGACGGUAGUCGGAGAAGAAGGCCCCGGUUAAAUUACGUGCCAGAGCCGGGUAAUACGAAGGGGCUAAGGGUUGGUCCGGAAUUACUUGGGCGUAAAGGGAACAGUAGGCGGGAAUUGGUAAGCCAAGGGGGUGAAAAUCCCGGGGUUCAAACCCCGGAAAUUGGCCUUUGAUACUUGGGCAAAUCUCUCGAGUUUCAAAAACACGGU